RNAcentral lists this ribosomal RNA (388 nucleotides) under uncultured bacterium. RNAcentral's name for it is "partial 16S ribosomal RNA". It matches the Rfam family "Bacterial small subunit ribosomal RNA", at positions 523 to 918 of the family's 1533-position model. The record is from RNAcentral.
AUACAUAGGGGGCAAGCGUUAUCCGGAAUUAUUGGGCGUAAAGGGUGCGUAGGCGGUCUAUUAAGUCUGAGGUGUAAGUGCAGGGCUCAACCCUGUGAUGCUUUAGAAACUGGUAGACUUGAGUGAGAUAGAGGCAAGUGGAAUUCCAUGUGUAGCGGUAAAAUGCGUAAAUAUAUGGAGGAACACCAGUGGCGAAGGCGGCUUGCUGGGGCUAUACUGACGCUGAGGCACGAAAGCGUGGGGAGCAAACAGGAUUAUAUUCCCGGGUAGGCCACGCCGUAAACGAUGAGUACUAAGUGUUGCGAGAACGCAGUGCUGAAGUUAACAUAUUAAGUACUCCGCCUGAGUAGUACGUACGCAAGUAUGAAACUCAAAUGAAUUGACGGGG